RNAcentral lists this ribosomal RNA (583 nucleotides) under uncultured Sebacina. RNAcentral's name for it is "eukaryotic LSU rRNA". The stretch from base 215 to 368 matches the Rfam family "5.8S ribosomal RNA". The record is from RNAcentral. Lineage: Eukaryota; Fungi; Basidiomycota; Agaricomycetes; Sebacinales; Sebacinaceae.
AAGUCGUAACAAGGUUUCCGUAGGUGAACCUGCGGAAGGAUCAUUAUUGAUUGUGAAUCGUUGCCUUCAGUGCUGGCCCCGGCAAGUGCACGUUGGUGACUUUCAUCCAAUACCCUUGUGAACCUCUGGCCUCUUGCUAGCUUCGGCUGGCAGAGGAUUUUUACACACACUCGAAUGUAAUGAAACCUAUUGUUGUGCGCAAGCACUAAUGUACAACUUUCAACAACGGAUCUCUUGGCUCUCGCAUCGAUGAAGAACGCAGCGAAAUGCGAUAAGUAAUGUGAAUUGCAGAAUUCAGUGAAUCAUCGAAUCUUUGAACGCACCUUGCACCCUUUGGCAUUCCGAAGGGUAUGCUCGUUUGAGUGUCAUUGUACUCUCACACUCUCCAAUCCUCUGGAUCCGGGGAGUGGUGGACUUGGGCGUCUGCUGCUUGACUGUGGCUCGCUUUAAAUGGAUUAGUGCAACUCUUGGUUGGACAUAGUACGGCGUGAUAAGUGUCUUCGCCGGCACCUCGGAAGAGGGUGACUGAUUGAGAGCUCUGUGCUUCAAACUGUCUUCGGACAAUCUCUGACAACUUGACCUC